GACGAACGCUGGCGGCGUGCUUAACACAUGCAAGUCGAACGGAAAGGCCCUGCUUUUGUGGGGUGCUCGAGUGGCGAACGGGUGAGUAACACGUGAGUAACCUGCCCUUGACUUUGGGAUAACUUCAGGAAACUGGGGCUAAUACCGGAUAGGAGCUCCUGCUGCAUGGUGGGGGUUGGAAAGUUUCGGCGGUUGGGGAUGGACUCGCGGCUUAUCAGCUUGUUGGUGGGGUAGUGGCUUACCAAGGCUUUGACGGGUAGCCGGCCUGAGAGGGUGACCGGCCACAUUGGGACUGAGAUACGGCCCAGACUCCUACGGGAGGCAGCAGUGGGGAAUAUUGCACAAUGGGCGGAAGCCUGAUGCAGCAACGCCGCGUGCGGGAUGACGGCCUUCGGGUUGUAAACCGCUUUCGCCGGUGACGAAGCGUGAGUGACGGUAAUGGGUAAAGAAGCACCGGCUAACUA
Molecule: ribosomal RNA, 464 nt
Filed under: uncultured bacterium
Lineage: Bacteria
Description: partial 16S ribosomal RNA
Rfam family: Bacterial small subunit ribosomal RNA
Source: RNAcentral